Molecule: ribosomal RNA, 372 nt
Filed under: uncultured organism
Description: partial 16S ribosomal RNA
Rfam family: Bacterial small subunit ribosomal RNA
Source: RNAcentral
GUAGGUGGCAAGCGUUGUCCGGAAUUAUUGGGCGUAAAGCGCGCGCAGGGCGGUCCUUUAAGUCUGAUGUGAAAGCCCACGGCUCAACCGUGGAGGGUCAUUGGAAACUGGGGGACUUGAGUACAGAAGAGGAAAGCGGAAUUCCAAGUGUAGCGGUGAAAUGCGUAGAGAUUUGGAGGAACACCAGUGGCGAAGGCGGCUUUCUGGUCUGUAACUGACGCUGAGGCGCGAAAGCGUGGGUAGCAAACAGGAUUAGAUACCCAGGUAGUCCACGCCGUAAACGAUGAGUGCUAAGUGUUAGGGGGUUUCCGCCCCUUAGUGCUGCAGCUAACGCAUUAAGCACUCCGCCUGGGGAGUACGGCCGCAAGGCUG